GGAAUCUGAGAGAGUUGAUCAACGAGCGACUAACUGCUGCUGACGAAAUAUUCACGGAGUUUGAGAAAACCAUCGUCCAGUACGAGGAGGAGAUCGAUCGUCAGCGCAGACUGCUGGAUAACAUUUGGAAACCACAGAUAACACAACACACAGCAGGUCUCCCACAGCAGCAUGUUGUAAGGAGCAUGAGGUUUUGUCUGACCAGCAACUCAGUAACCAGAAGAGUAACUCCAGUCUGGAUCAUGACAACCAAGAGCUUCCACUGAUUACAGAUGAACAGGAAGAACUCUGCACCAGCCUGGACCAGGAGGACCUGGAGCCUCCAAUGAUUACAGAGGAACAGGAGGAAUUCUGCACCAAUCAGGAGGGAGAGCAGCUUGUUGUGAAGCAGGAGACUGAUACCUUUAUGGUGACUGUUACUUAUGAGGAAAGUGACCACAGUGAACCAGAACAAACAGUGACCAGCUCCUCUCUUCCAAUUCCUCUGUAGCUGAGAGUCCAGAUCAGGAAGGAAUCAAGCAGGCAGACCCGCAAUUAACUAGAAAUGCAGUGCUAAGGUCAACAGAGAGACGUGACAGAAACAGCAGUCACAGUAAGAAUGUAGACAGCUCUCUCAUGUCAGAGAGUCACUGUGAUGCUGAUACAGGUAAAAAGUCAGUACCAUGUGAUAUCUGUGGAAAAACCUUUAAAGGUAAGUCCAAAUUGAAGGAACAUCACAGAAUUCACACAGGUGAGAAGCCAUUUCAUUGUGAAACAUGUGGAAAAGUGUUCAGUCAAAGUUGUAAAUUGAAAGUCCACAUGAGAACUCACACAGGUGAGAGACCUUACCCUUGUAACAUCUGUGGAAAGAGAUUUAGUGAUGUUUCAGCAUUUAAAAAGCAUUCAGCAACUCACACAGGUGAGAAGCUGUACUCUUGUACAACCUGUGGGAAAAGUUUCAGUCAAAGUGGUAAUUUGAAAGUCCACAUAAGAACUCACACAGGAGAGAGACCUUACCCUUGUAACAUCUGUGGCAGAAGAUAUAAUGGAAUAUUAUGGCUGAGAAAGCACAUGUCAAUUCACACAGGUGAUAAACCUUUUGUUUGUAACACCUGGAAAAGGGUUUUCUGACACAUCAGUGUUUAAAAGGCAUGCAGCAAUCCACAAAGGAGAGAAGCCAUUUUCUAGUGAAAUAUGUGGAAACGGUUUUAGUCGUGGGGAUCAUUUAUUACUCCACAUGAGAAUCCACACAGGUGACAAACCAUACAUUUGUAACACCUGUGGAAAAAUAAAUUUAGUGACCUUCCAGCAUUUAAAAGUCACACAACAAAACUGUGUUGAAUCUGGAAGUUUAUGUCUUUUCUGUGAUUCAGGAACAGCUCAGCUCCUCACUGAAACUCUCCUUUAGCUGAAAACCACAACCAUCAUGAAUAUUGGUUGGACACUGAUUAGUUGUUUCAGCAGCAACUUAUAAAAUUAUGUUCAAUCAACAAAAGUAAUUUAUUUUCAACAAACAUGAGUACAUUGUGUUGAUUCAAAGAAACUGAAUUUUUCUUCAAUAAAGUAAAUUCAAAUCUUUUAUCAUUUUGCAUAAUUUGCUCAUUUCAUUGUAGCGUUAUUUAUUAGUUUAUUAUUUCAGUGUCAAUUAAAUGUUUUUGGAAUUCCAGUAAAAUGUGACAUUAAGUCAAUUUAAAAAAGGAAUGUAAAUAUUAAAACUGAUUUGAAAUAUAAACAAAAUGAAACAGUCAGCAAUCAGUUAUUUCUGUUUUAUUUCUCAGGUUUUUAGUUUUUCUCUUUUUUUCACAUUAUACAUUCUUGUCCCCAUUGACAAUGAUGACAGUUUUGUUGAAAGCCUUUAUUCCAGAUCUUGGAUAAACACCAGUUUUUACACUUUACAUGUUAAAAUGUCAAAUGUUUUCUACCCAGAAGGUCUGUGGAUCCCAGUGUUUUAACCUGAUGACACCAAUUUGCUUCAUUAUCAAACUGUCUUGUGUCUCCGUCUGUCAUUUCAACCAGUGAUGUCUGAAGAAGAAUGACAUUUUGUACCAUGAACUUUUCCAGAGUUAUUGUUCUGAACCUAUUUAUUAAAAUCCAAACAUGCUCA
Molecule: long non-coding RNA, 2083 nt
Organism: Acanthochromis polyacanthus (spiny chromis)
Lineage: Eukaryota; Metazoa; Chordata; Actinopteri; Pomacentridae
Exons: 2
Source: RefSeq, a predicted model, not a curated record